AAAUUGAAGAGUUUGAUCAUGGCUCAGAUUGAACGCUGGCGGCAGGCCUAACACAUGCAAGUCGAACGGUAACAGAAAGCAGCUUGCUGCUUUGCUGACGAGUGGCGGACGGGUGAGUAAUGUCUGGGAAACUGCCUGAUGGAGGGGGAUAACUACUGGAAACGGUAGCUAAUACCGCAUAACGUCGCAAGACCAAAGAGGGGGACCUUCGGGCCUCUUGCCAUCGGAUGUGCCCAGAUGGGAUUAGCUAGUAGGUGGGGUAACGGCUCACCUAGGCGACGAUCCCUAGCUGGUCUGAGA
Molecule: ribosomal RNA, 300 nt
Filed under: Shigella dysenteriae
Lineage: Bacteria; Pseudomonadati; Pseudomonadota; Gammaproteobacteria; Enterobacterales; Enterobacteriaceae
Description: partial 16S ribosomal RNA
Rfam family: Bacterial small subunit ribosomal RNA
Source: RNAcentral